CCUACGGGAGGCAGCAGUGAGGAAUAUUGGUCAAUGGACGAGAGUCUGAACCAGCCAAGUAGCGUGAAGGAUGACUGCCCUAUGGGUUGUAAACUUCUUUUAUAUGGGAGUAAAAUGUUCCACGUGUGGGAUUUUGUAUGUACCAUAUGAAUAAGGAUCGGCUAACUCCGUGCCAGCAGCCGCGGUAAUACGGAGGAUCCGAGCGUUAUCCGGAUUUAUUGGGUUUAAAGGGAGCGUAGGUGGAUUGUUAAGUCAGUUGUGAAAGUUUGCGGCUCAACCGUAAAAUUGCAGUUGAAACUGGCAGUCUUGAGUACAGUAGAGGUGGGCGGAAUGCGUGGUGUAGCGGUGAAAUGCUUAGAUAUCACGAAGAACUCCGAUUGCGAAGGCAGUUCACUGGACUGUAACUGACACUGAGGCGCGAAAGUGUGGGUAUCAAACAGGAUUAGAUACCCCGGUAGUC
Molecule: ribosomal RNA, 460 nt
Filed under: uncultured bacterium
Lineage: Bacteria
Description: partial 16S ribosomal RNA
Rfam family: Bacterial small subunit ribosomal RNA
Source: RNAcentral